UGAUCCUGGCUCAGGAUGAACGCUGGCGGCGUGCUUAACACAUGCAAGUAGAACGAUGAUCCCAGCUUGCUGGGGGAUUAGUGGCGAACGGGUGAGUAACACGUGAGUAACCUGCCCUUGACUCUGGGAUAAGCCUGGGAAACUGGGUCUAAUACCGGAUAUGACCUUCCAUCGCAUGGUGGUUGGUGGAAAGCUUUUGUGGUUUUGGAUGGACUCGCGGCCUAUCAGCUUGUUGGUGGGGUAAUGGCCUACCAAGGCGACGACGGGUAGCCGUCCUGAGAGGGUGACCGGCCACACUGGGACUGAGACACGGCCCAGACUCCUACGGGAGGCAGCAGUGGGGAAUAUUCGUCUCCACAUGUCGCAAGCCUGAUGCAGCGACGCCGCGUGAGGGAUGACGGCCUUCGGGUUGUAAACCUCUUUCAGUAGGGAUGAAGCCGCAAGGUGACGGUACCUGCAGAAGAAGCGCCGGCUAACUACGUGCCAGCAGCCGCGGUAAUACGUAGGGCGCAAGCGUUAUCCGGAAUUAUUGGGCGUAAAGAGCUCGUAGGCGGUUUGUCGCGUCUGCCGUGAAAGUCCGGGGCUCAACUCCGGAUCUGCGGUGGGUACGGGCAGACUAGAGUGAUGUAGGGGAGACUGGAAUUCCUGGUGUAGCGGUGAAAUGCGCAGAUAUCAGGAGGAACACCGAUGGCGAAGGCAGGUCUCUGGGCAUUAACUGACGCUGAGGAGCGAAAGCAUGGGGAGCGAACAGGAUUAGAUACCCUGGUAGUCCAUGCCGUAAACGUUGGGCACUAGGUGUGGGGGACAUUCCACGUUUUCCGCGCCGUAGCUAACGCAUUAAGUGCCCCGCCUGGGGAGUACGGCCGCAAGGCUAAAACUCAAAGGAAUUGACGGAGGGCCCGCACAAGCGGCGGAGCAUGCGGAUUAAUUC
This 931-nucleotide ribosomal RNA is filed under the name Arthrobacter sp. S2.TSA.007. Its description in RNAcentral is "bacterial SSU rRNA". It matches the Rfam family "Bacterial small subunit ribosomal RNA", at positions 14 to 952 of the family's 1533-position model. Lineage: Bacteria; Bacillati; Actinomycetota; Actinomycetes; Micrococcales; Micrococcaceae. The record is from RNAcentral.